ACCAAAGGGUGGUGCUACCUGUGUGGCCUUCGAAAGGACGGGUGACCAUUAGGAUGAGUGGCAUCUUUGUCCUGCUCUACACAAACUUUGGCCUUCAAGUUCGAUAUGACGGAAGGCAUCUGGUGGAGGUGACGGUGCCGUCCUCGUACACUGGCUCACUCUGUGGGCUGUGUGGGAACUACAACAAUAACAGCUUGGAUGAUAAUCUGCGUGCAGACAUGAAGCCGGCGGUCAACUCACUUCUGCUGGGAGCUGCUUGGAAAAUCCUUGAAGCCUCUGAUCCUGGGUGAGUUGGGUAUAGGAUCUUGGCCUAGGUGAGCUGAGCCUGGGUGAGCUGCACUUGGGUGAGCUAGGCCUGGUGAGGGCCGAGCCUUAGGGAACUAGGCCUAGGGGGAAUGGACAGACAGAGAUGGACAUGGUGCGGUCUGAGCACGGGGGAGUUGGGCAUCUGAUAAGUUAGGUCUAGGGAAACUGGUU
RNAcentral lists this long non-coding RNA (477 nucleotides) under Rattus norvegicus (Norway rat). RNAcentral's name for it is "long non-coding RNA NONRATT031808". The record is from RNAcentral. Lineage: Eukaryota; Metazoa; Chordata; Mammalia; Rodentia; Muridae.